GAUGAACGCUGGCGGCGUGCCUAAUCCAUGCUAGUCGAGCGAACAGACUAGGAGCUUGCUCCACUGAUGCUAGCGACUCUUGGGCGAGUAACACGUGGAUAACCUACCUAUAAGACUUGGAUACCUUCGUGAAACCGCCCCUAAUACCCGAUCAUAUAUUUAACCGCAUGGUUCCUUAGUGACAGACGGUUUUCCGGUCAAUUAUAGAUGGAUCCGCGCCGCAUUAGCUAGUUGGUAAGGUAACGGCUUACCAAGGCAACGAGGCGUAGCCGACCUGAGAGGGUGAUCGGACACACUGGAACUGAGACACUGUGCAGACUCCUACGGGAGGCAGCGAUAGGGAAACUGCCGCAAUAGGCGAAAGCCUGAGGGAGCAACGUCGCGUGAGUGAUGAAGGUCUUCGGAUCGUAAAACUCUGUUAUUAGGGAAGAACAAAUGUGUAAUUAACUAUGCACGUCUUGACGGUACCAAAUCAGAAGGCCACGGCUAAGUACGUC
Molecule: ribosomal RNA, 497 nt
Filed under: uncultured bacterium
Lineage: Bacteria
Description: partial 16S ribosomal RNA
Rfam family: Bacterial small subunit ribosomal RNA
Source: RNAcentral